CGGAGUGAUCCUGCUACAAGACUUCCCCAGGAAGUGGCUUUGGGGGUAAUACCCAAAGGUUGGAGGUUGAGUCCUGUGCAAGCAUGGAGUUUGGCAAGUGAAGAGGCAGUAAGGAUGGCUGUUUGCAGGCAGGUACACUGUCUGCAAAGCCGGAAUAUAGACAAUUUCUAGUGGUCCAGGAUUGGAAAAGAUCAUGCCCUGCCAUACUCUUCUGGACAGGCUGGCUCCUCAGGGAGGACUCAGAGGCAGGUUCUGGCCUGGCCUUGCCCUCCUGCAAGCCCACUUGUCUCCACCAUCACACUUCCCCCAGUUUGUGUGAGCCUGAUUUCCACUCGAACCUGCCUCCACUGAUGCUAUUCUGAAAGAAUUGCCUUGCCGGAGUCUAGUGAAGGGACAGUAACCGGGGCCACCGCAGGACCCAACCUGUCCAGCAAUUUCUAGGCACUUCCCACCUCUCUGGUCACUGCUGCCUCAGUGCCUGCCUGCCUCAGGGCCUGUGCACUUGCUUCUGCCUGAACUGUUCUGUGCUGUUGGAGGAAACUCUUGAGAGUCCCUUGGACUGCAAGGAGAUCCAACCAGUCCGUCUUAAAGGAGAUCAGUCCUGAGUGUUCAUUGGACGGACUGAUGUUGAAGCUGAGACUCCAAUACUUUGGCCACCUGAUGAGAAGAGCUGACUCAUUUGAAAAGACCCUGAUGCUGGGAAAGAUUGAAGGCAGGAGGAGAAGGGGACCACAGAGGAUGAGAUGGUUGGAUGGCAUCACCGACUCAAUGGACAUGAGUUUGGGUGAACUGCGGGAGUUGGUGAUGGACAGGGAGGCCUGACAUGCUGCGUUUCAUGGGGUCCAACGAGUCGGACACGACUGAGUGACUGAACUGUUCUUCCCCUAACUGUUAGGGCCAGCCCUGAGUCCCACACUCUUGACCAUCACCUACGUAUUUUGACUGUUGGGCCAGGAUAGGUAUGGCUCAUCCCUACCCCACGCAACCCGGUGAUUUUGGGGCCCAGCACAGAGUGCUGGACUGGGGUCAUGGAAAGUGCUCAGCAAAUAAUUACUAAAGGAUUCCGCGCCUCAGGCAGCUCACGGCCAGCCACCAACUUUCCUCCUCCCUCUUCCUAGGAGGGAAGCGGGGUCUAGGCCCAGGCCGCGGGGGAGGGCAAGGCCCGCGGCGGGGGGAGGGGCGGGC
This is a long non-coding RNA of Bos taurus (domestic cattle), 1185 nucleotides long. NCBI's taxonomy places the organism in Eukaryota, Metazoa, Chordata, Mammalia, Artiodactyla, Bovidae. The record is from Ensembl.